UUUUGUUGCUGUUGUGAUUUAUUUAUUUGUCUCCCAAUCAGUUGAAGCUCAUCAACUCUGAAUUAUCGCCCAAAUGCGCUUAUCUGUUUCUUCUUAUUUCCAAUGUAAGAUACCAGGUUUUAAACUAAAGGAGCCCUUAAGUACAUUGAAAGACAUAUAAAGAGCAACCACCAUGUGAAGCAGCCCAGCUAUAUUGCUGCUGAGACAAGAGUGGAAAGAAGGAUGCUUGAAGAAUGAGCGACUAAGAAGGAAGAGAAAGAAGUUCAGCCAACCUCUAGCCAUGAUAGUCAUCUUACCUGAGAUAUCACAUAUAUAAAUAAAUCUUCAUGCAGCCCUAGUUGAGUUUCCUCAACCAAACCACAUAAAGCACAGGCCCAGACAAGUGCUGCCAAGUUGCAAAAUUGUAAGCAAAUAAAUAAUGUUUGGGUUUUUUUAAGCACUAAAUUUUGGGAGGUUUGUAAGGCAGCAAGAGAUAACUGAAGCACCAAUAUAAAUUACAACCUUUCUGAUACAAAACUCUUUUAUUUCGUUUAUUAUUUAAUUUUAAAAAUAUUUAAUGUGUAUUUAAUUUAAAUAAAUUAUUUGAUAUUAUUAAUAGUAUUUCCGAGACUUCAAGAAAAAGGCCAUCAAAAAGUGAAAAAGAAACUGAAUGAAGAGUAAAAUACUUUGUUUCCACUAUAUUUUUCUCCUUGUAAAACUCCCCUCAUUAACAUUCUGUUUAAAUACUCUGAGACCCCAUAGAAAAGUUUCGAAACAAAGCCAUUUUAAGUAAUAUAAUUGUUAGAAGCAGCUACUUAUACAUGAGUUCAUGUCUUUAAUAAAAUUAUUCCCACUUAUUGAAACCUACAAUAAUGUGACCUGUUAAUGUAUUUGGGGUUGCAUAUACUUCAGUCAAGUUCUUAAUGAAAAUAUUAAGGGUGCUUAAAAUAUAUCUAAAGUCUGAGAUGAAUUUCAUCUAGUUUUUAAAUAUAUGAAAUAUUUAGUAGUACAUAUACCACUGAUAAAAUAUACAUUUGUUAUUUAAGAAAUUGUAUUUCCACCAAUCUCUGUAAUCAAUUUUACAUUUAAAAUUCUUUCCAUAACAAAUCAAUAUGCAUAAUUUGAGUAUAUUUUAUAUAUCACAGGUGUUUAUGAAUUAUUUCCAUAUUUAAAAUACCAAAUAUUUCAGAAUGGACAAUAAAUAAGUGUUAGUUCCCUUUCUUUUGCUGACAUUACUUAAAAGCAAGUAUAAAAAAUCUGAAGCACAGUUCGUGAAUGCUGGGAUUGCUAGAUGAUGAUACACUGUAAGAUGAAAGACUUUCAAAGCCUUUAAAGCAUUACCCAAGAUAACUGCUCAGUGAAAAAAAAGUGUGUUGUAAAACAAUAUGUAAUACAAUCUUAUGUUGUUAAAAUAUUAUUAAUUGCAAAUAUAAAUAUAUAAUGCUACAUUUAAUACAUUUAUAAUAAUUGAAAAAUAUAUAAUACAUGUGUGUUACCUCAUAAACAUGAAGAAAACCUUGUAAAUGUAUUUGGUGGAAAAGGAAGAAAGAACAUAAACACUGGAGUCAGAAAGACCUACCUACAAAUCCUGAGUUUGCCACUUAAUAAUUCUAUGGGAUUUCAGUCAAUAACCUAAUUUAUCAGAACCUGUUUCCACGUAUUCAAAGUGGGCAGAAAUGUAUCCACUUUCAGAAAUAUAAUAAUAGAAGUCAGAGACAAGCUAAUGAUGCUUAGUAAAUGACAAUUGUUCUAAUUCUUAUUAGUCCCGAACAGUCAUCCUCAUCAAACACAAUUUGCUACUCCAUCAGGGGAAUGUUUUUCACGUGGUUUUCUAGUGGGUCUAUGUCUCCACAAGGGUAUUUUUGGCAUUCUGCAGAAGUCCCAAUCAAAUUUCGUAAAAGUGUAAUUUAAUUUUUAAAAAUCUGUAUUUCAUAUGUUUUUGGCUCAAUAAAAUGAGAGCAAAGCUUAAGGGUACCUGCUUAAUGGAUAUUUUCCUGAGCAUUGUUCAGUAACAAAUAAAGCUGGAGAGGGGAUAAAUUGCUUCAUGAUUACCUUUAGCAUUUAUUUCAACAUGGAUAGUUUGAGUUAUAUACUUAGUAAAUUUUACUUUAUUUUAUUGAGGUGAAAUGCCUUUAAAGUUAAAAAAGUUACUGAUUACUAAGAAAAUUGUAGAAUACUAUUUGAUAUGAGUGUAACAAGAGUUAUCAGGUUUGAGAAAAAAAACACAAAAAAUUACUGUGACCAAAGCUAAAUAGCUCACAUUAACUGGUAAAAAGAUAUGAAAGUAAAGCAACAUGCUCACAACAUUUAAUGUAAGGUAAUUCGAACAACAAAAUCAAAACAAAACAACACAGAAGGGUGAUUCUUUCUUAAAAUAUUUUAGUUGACAAAUAAUAAUUGUAUAUGCUUAUUUUUUAUUUUUCCAGGUACAAAGUAGGUGUAUAUAAUUAUAAGGUACAUGAGAUAUUUUGAUAAGAGGCAAACAAAGCAUAAUAAUCACAUUAGAGUAAAUGGGGUAUCCAUCCCCUCAAGCAUAUAUACUUCUUUUUAUUACAAACAAUUCAUUUAUCCUCUUUUAGUAAUUUAACAAUAUACAGUAAAUUAUUGUUGACUGUAGUCACCCUGCUGUGCUGUCAAAUACUAGGUCUUAUUCAUUCCUUCUAACUACUUUUUUUUUUUUUUUAAUCCAUUAACCAUUCCCACUUCUCCUCCUCCACUAUCCUUACUGGUCUCUGGUAACCAUCCUUCUACUUUCUAUCUCCAUGAGUUCAGAUGUUUUGAUUUUUAGUUCCCAAAAAUAAAUGAGAACAUGCAAAGUUUGUCUUUCUGUGCUGGCAUUUUUCACUUAACAUAAUGGCCUCCAGUUCCAUGCAUGUUGUAGCAAAUGACAGGAUUUCAUACAUUUUAUGGCUGAAUAGUACACCAUUGUGUAUAUGUACCACAUUUAUUCAUUCAUCUGUUGAUGGAAACUUAAGUUGCUUCCAAAUUUUGGCUAUUGGGAAUAGUGUUGCAAAACACACAGGAAUGCAGAUAUCUGUAUAAUAUAUCGAUUUCCUUUCUUUUAGACACAUACCUACGAGUGGCAUUGCUGGCUAUGGAAGUUUCACUUUUAGUUUUUUGAGGCAGUUUCUGGUGAGAAAUGGAAUGUUCUCCAUAGUAAUUUUACUAACUUACAUUAUCACCACCAAUAUACUAGUGUUCCCUUUUUGCCGUAUCUAUGCUAACAUUUAUUAUUGCCUAUGUUUUGGAUAAAAGCAAUUUUAACUGGGGUAAGAUGAUAUCUCAUUGUACUUUUGAUUCACAUUUUUCUGAUGAUCAAUGAUGUUAAGUAUGUUUUUAUAUACCUGUUUGCCAUCCAUCUGUUUUCUUUGGAGAAAUGUCUAUUCAGAGAUUUUGCUCAUUUUUAAUCAGAUCAUUAGGUUUUUUUCCUGUAGUCUUAUUUGAGAUCCUUAUAUAUUCUGGUUAUUAACCCAACAUGAUAUGAUCCCAUUUGUCCAUUUUUGUUUUGGUUGCCUGUGCUUACGGGGUGUUAUUCAAGAAAUAUUUGCCCAGCCCAGUGUCCUAGAGAAUUCACCCAAUGUUUUAUUUAGUAGUUUCAUAGUUUCAGGUCUUUGACUUAAGUUUUCAGUCCAUUUUGAUUUGGUUUUAUGUAUGACAGGAGAUAGGGAUCUAGUAUAAUUUUUCUGCAUAUGGCUGUCCAGUUUUCCCAUCAUCUAUUUUUGAAGAGACUGUCCUUUCCCCCAGUGUAUGUUUUUGGCAACUUUGUUGAAAGUGAGUUCAAUAUAGACGUGUAGAUUUGUUUCUGGGUACUCUAUUCAGUUCUAUUUGUUUAUAUGUCUGUUUUUAUGCCAGUAUUAUGCUGUUUGGGUUACUAUAGCUCUGUAGUAUAAUUUAAAAUCAGGUAAUCUGAUUUCUCCAGUUUUGUUCUCUAUGCUCAUGAUAACUUUGACUAUUCUGGGUCUUUUUGGGUUUCACAUAAAUUUUAGGAUUUUUUUUUUCAUUUCUGUAAAAAAUUUAAUUGGUAUGUUGAUAGGGAUUGCAUUGAUCUGUAGAUUGCUUUGGGCAGUAUAAACAUCUUAACAACACUGAUUCUUCCAAUCCAUGAACAUGAAAUAUCUUUCCAUUUUUUGUGUGUUCUCUUCAGUUUCUUUCAUCAAUGUUUUACCAUUCUCAUUGUAGAACUCUUUCACUUUUUUUGCUUAAUUUCUAAGUAUUUAAUUUUAUUUGUUGCUAUUAUAAAUGGGAU
This 4225-nucleotide long non-coding RNA is filed under the name Homo sapiens (human). RNAcentral describes it as "HSALNT0139049". The record is from RNAcentral. Lineage: Eukaryota; Metazoa; Chordata; Mammalia; Primates; Hominidae.